Molecule: long non-coding RNA, 529 nt
Organism: Gorilla gorilla gorilla (western lowland gorilla)
Lineage: Eukaryota; Metazoa; Chordata; Mammalia; Primates; Hominidae
Exons: 3
Source: RefSeq, a predicted model, not a curated record
CAAGAGAGCCCAGGGCUGCCACACCAACCCUAGGCUGCCCACUCCCUGGCACACCUCUCGCCACCAGCCCAAACAGUUAUUGUGGUGAUGACCCUUUUUAAGUACUAGAUGGUGCCAUUUCUACCAAACGUAAACAGGCUCCACAAAGCACAGCAUCAACGCGUGUCAGGCAGUGCACAGCAAGAGCUGAGACAUUCGUGCAGCUGUUCUUCCCCUCUGCUGACUUUAUGUGGAGUAAAGGGCUACUCCAGCUGAGGAAAAAUGCCAACAAAGGAGAUGAAAACAGCCAGAAAUUGUAUAUACUUAUCAUGUACAACAUGAUGCCCUGAAAUAUGUCUACACUACGGGAUGGCCAAAUUGAGGCAAUUAACAUAUGCAUGACCUCACAAACUUCACAUUUUUUGUGGAUUUACCUGAACACCUGUUUUUCUGGGACACCAACCUGUAGCAGUACUAGAAACAGCAAAUACAUCUAUGUGAAACUGUAAGUUUUAUGUACCCUAUCAACAAUAAAAAUUUAUCUACUGUG